RNAcentral lists this ribosomal RNA (561 nucleotides) under bacterium tet-w-28. RNAcentral describes it as "bacterial SSU rRNA". It matches the Rfam family "Bacterial small subunit ribosomal RNA", at positions 50 to 597 of the family's 1533-position model. The record is from RNAcentral.
UACACAUGCAGUCGACGGUGAAACAGCGACAAGUCAGCUUGCUGAUUUGCUGACGAGUGGCGGACGGGUGAGUAAUGUCUGGGAAACUGCCUGAUGGAGGGGGAUAACUACUGGAAACGGUAGCUAAUACCGCAUAACGUCGCAAGACCAAAGAGGGGGACCUUCGGGCCUCUUGCCAUCGGAUGUGCCCAGAUGGGAUUAGCUAGUAGGUGGGGUAACGGCUCACCUAGGCGACGAUCCCUAGCUGGUCUGAGAGGAUGACCAGCCACACUGGAACUGAGACACGGUCCAGACUCCUACGGGAGGCAGCAGUGGGGAAUAUUGCACAAUGGGCGCAAGCCUGAUGCAGCCAUGCCGCGUGUAUGAAGAAGGCCUUCGGGUUGUAAAGUACUUUCAGCGGGGAGGAAGGGAGUAAAGUUAAUACCUUUGCUCAUUGACGUUACCCGCAGAAGAAGCACCGGCUAACUCCGUGCCAGCAGCCGCGGUAAUACGGAGGGUGCAAGCGUUAAUCGGAAUUACUGGGCGUAAGCGCACGCAGGCGGUUUGUUAAGUCAGAUGUGA